Long non-coding RNA from Marmota monax (woodchuck), 719 nucleotides. RefSeq lists it as uncharacterized. Lineage: Eukaryota; Metazoa; Chordata; Mammalia; Rodentia; Sciuridae. The transcript has 3 exons. The record is from RefSeq and is a predicted model, not a curated record.
UAGUAAAAGAGAAAAUAUUGCAUCCUGUUCACUCUCCAGAACUCUGCCAAUGUCACAGACAGGUGGAUGGACAGCACUCUGACUAACCCUGUGCAGGCAAGCAAGGAGCUUCCUGUCCCAGCCACAUCAGAGGAAGAUACAAGACAAGCACCAGUUCACCUGCCAUGUUGCCUUGACCAGAGAGGCCCAAGAAUCAACAGGCAUGAGUAAAGGGAAAAAAAAAAAAAAAACGUUGAGUGAAGGGAACACUGCAGAUCAGCAAGCCUUUCUGUGUCCAAUUUGCUCUUCUACUUGGCUUGAGGAACUUGAGAAUACAUAUGCCUGCUAUUGGUUACUAGUGUGGUGAGGCAAGUCUCCCUCUCUGUGGUCAGUGAUCAAGACCUCACUUCUGUGUUUUUUGCUUCCAUGAAGAAUUCUACAUAAGCUAUGAAUGUUCUUACAGAUCACCUCUGCAAAAGUGAAAUAAACAUUUUCUAGCUCAAUUAUUCUGUGAAUUGUUUUGAUAAAAUCGACUCCUAUUUUUUUUUAUCUUAAGUGUUUUGCAUAUCCAGCACAUAGAUCUGGUCUUUCCCCAAUUCAGAAAGGCCUAUUUCUACUGUGUCCUGUGUUGCUGCAUCUUGGAUCCUUUACCUCAAUUAAUUGCUGAUGUCAUCUCUUAGCUAUUUCCAAAAGGGUGUCUGAGUUGCUUUGCUUACUUUAUUACAUACUAGUCCUUAUGA